UUGUUUAACAAAGGUAAAAUGACUAAAUUAGAGUACUAUUGUGAAAACAGUGUUUGAAUGUUAUUUAUUUUAUCCGUCUUUCUGUGAACUUUGAUAUUUACUGAACUAGCUUCCAGUAAUGCACUAAACAUCAAAGCCACACGCAGUACUGUUAAUGACAGGAUUCCCACAAGCACCACUGCUGCUGGAGGGAGGACAUUAGGUUUUAGUAGAUGGGGUGGUCUAGCGUGGUACUCUUAGUCAGUGUUCUAACCCUGUGGCUUUCUAUUGCAAAAGGAGAAGGUGUAAAGCUAGCCGUGCGGGAGCCGGGCAGGAUGAAAAGCAGGCCUGAUCACCUCUUCACUACAGGAAUUGGUUAAAAUCUUCUCCCAUUGUGUAGGCUGCCAUGUGGUCCAGUUGACAGUGUCCUUUGCCUUAUUGAAGCAUUUCAGUUUCUGUAAGCUGGAACAUGGUCUCCUCAUAGUAGUAUGUACCAUUAAGCAGUGUUUAAAGCAUCUCACUGCUUUCCUAAACUAAACUCCCAAAGUUCAAAUUCCUCUAAACAAAAGCACGAUCAGGCCUGUCACAGAAAUGCCCCAGUGUCUAGCUUCAGCUUCUGCCUUAGUGUUUCUAUUACUGUGAAGAGAUACCAGGAGCACAAAAACCCUUAUAAAAGAAACAUUUAAUUGGUGUGCGUUAUAGUUUCAGUGGCUUAAUCCAUUAUCAACAUAAUGAUAGGACAUGGUAGGGGGCAGGCAACAUGGGUGCUGAAAAUGGAUUUGAAAAUUAGUACAUCUUGAGCAGCAGGUAACAAAAAAUUAUGAAUGUGGCUAGAGCAUGGGAGGCCUCAAAACUCACUCCUGCAGUGACACACUUCCUCCAACAAGGCCAUACCUACUCCAACAAAGCCAAACCUCCUAAAAGCGCCACUCCCUAGAGCUUAUGUGGGACAAUUACAUUCAAACCACUAAACAUGGCAUACCAACUUACACUAAGGUUAAGCACAUCCCCUCAUAUUAAGGCUUGAUGAGGCAACCCAGUAGGAGAAAAAGGGAACAAAGGCAGGCAAAAGAGUCAGAAACCAGGAACCAGACACUUGAUAGUUCAAAGACCUAGGAUAGAACUGACCAAAAAGACCAAAAAAAAAAAAAAAGUCAAUGAAAUGAUUCCUAAUGCCAUUCUAUUAUACUCAUAAUCCACAGCCUAGCAUAACCAUCAUCAGAAAGGCUUCAUCCAGCAACUGAUGGGAGCAGAUACAGAGUCCCAAAUCCAAACAUUAGGAAAAUCCAGCAGGGUGUCACCGCCUGGAGUCCAGGUAGAAAAACCGGAAGAUUGCUCUCUUUUUGCUGUGCCCGCCGGACCUAUCGGAUUUUGUAACUCCCAUUCUUAUAGUGUAAGAUUUUCCCCUCUUUAACCAUUAAAGUAUUCAUGUUACAAUUGAGCUAGCCUGGUUAAUUUGUUACACUUGGCACCCGAACUUGGGGCCACUGCAGCUCCGUACCCCCACGCCAUUUGCGCAUACUGCCACUUGCCUUACCUUGGCUCCACACGCCUCAUGACAUUUGCACGCAUAGACUACCCCCUCAGCCUCCUUUCUCCUAGCAUUCUGUUUUGUCUACUCUGCCUAUCUAAGCUGCUGCCCAAUCAAAAGGCCAAGGCAGUGUCUUUAUUGAACCAAUAAAAGCACCACAUAAAAAGAAGACCCUCCUACACCACAGGGGUAAUUUUAAUAGGUCUGUUCUAUAUGUUACUUGUUCUUUUCCCUUUGCAGCUUUUAAUAUCCUUUCUUCUAUACAUUUAGUGUUUAGAUUAUUAUGUGGCAAGGAAACUUUCUUUUCUUGUACACUAUAUUUAGUGCUCUUUGUACUACAUGGCAGAAAGAUCUUUCUUUAGGUUAGGAAAAAUUUAUUCUAUGACUUUGUUGAAAAUAUUUUCAUGGUAUAUUUGUGAGAAUUCUUCUCCUUCCUCUAUUACUAUUAUUUCUAGAUUUGAUAUUUUCAUAGUGCCCCAGAUGUCUUGGAUGUUUUGUGCCAGGAGUUGUUUAUAUUUAACAUUUUCUUUGACAGAUGUAUCUAUUUCUUUAUCUUAUCUUCAAUUCUCUAUUCCUUCUUGCAUUCUGUUGGUGAAUUUGGUCUUUGUAGUUCCUAUUCAAAUUCCAUAUUUUUUCAUUUCCAUAGUUCCCUGCUUUGGCUUUCUUCAUUAAUGCUAUUUCUAUCCUCAGUUUCUGAGUAGAUAUACUCAUUUCCUUGAACUGUUCAUUUGUGUUUUCCUGGAUUUCUUUUAGCAAUUUAUUCAUCUCUUCUUUUAGGACCUCUGUUUUGUUCAUACAGGGUGUUUUAAGGCAUUUUUCUUGAGCUUCAACUAAGGUAAAAUAUUCAAUGCCUGCUAUGGUACAGUUUCUGGGCUCCAGUGGAGAUAUAUUAUCCUAGGUAUUAUUGAUUCUCUUUUUAAACUGAUGUUUGGGAUUCUGGGAUUGGGAUGGUUACAGGACUGGGUGAUGAUAUUUGAUUUUGCCUCUAUUAGACAAGUGUUUGUUUCCUUGUUUCUGCUUCCUCUUAAGAUCUUAAGAGAGUGUGGUGGCCUUGUGCUGACUGAUAGGAAAUAUUCGGUGGCUCUCUUUCCCUAACUUGUUGAGCUGGUAUGCUGGCUACUCUUAUGUCAACUUGAUAGAAGUUGGGGUUAUCUGAAACUAGGAAACCUCAAUAGAAAAAAUGUCUCCAUAAGAUCAAGUUCUAAGUCUAUUGUGGGUAAUGCCAUUCCUGGGUUGGUAGUUGCAAGUUCAUAAGAAACCAGACUGAGCAGGUCAUGUGGAGCAAGACAGUAAGCAGCACCCCUCCAUGGCCAGAACAUUGGCUCCUGUCUCCUGGAUCCUUCUCUUUUUGAGUUCCUGUCCAGAUUUCCUUCAAAGAUUAACAGUACUGUGGAAAGAUAAGCUGAAUAAAUCUUUUCCUUCCCAAGUUGCUUUGGUCACAGUGUUUCAUCAUAGCAGUAGUAACCCUAACUAAGACAGAUGGUGUGUUCUUAGGGUGCACUUCUUAGGGUAUUGGAGUCUUGGAUAAUGGGAUGAGAUGAAGGGAAUAGGGUUGGGGGAGAAGAUCUUUGUGAUCAAUUUCAAAUGGGGUAGAGAGGAAAGAGAGACCAAAGCAGGAUAAAGUUAGGGGGAAUGGAUCUGGAGAAACAGAAAGUGAUGAGGAGAUCCACUGUCAGAUUACUACUUUCCCUUAGUAGUUUGUGUGAUUAAAAAAUACUUCUACUUUCAUCAGAGUUUACAGGAAAAGAGAGACUUCUCUGAUUAAUUUUCACAGAGCUGAUUUACAUAUUUAGAAAUUUUUUCAAUGUUAUGUGAGUUUAUAUAAAUAACAAAAUUAAUACUCUCCUCUACAUCUAAUGACACCCCAACCAGUCAGGGCUUUUGAAUGGGUUUACAAAUAAAGUGUGGGAUCAAUGUAGUUAACUGCGCCUCAAACCCUAUUAGGGUUGGGUUCCACAAUGCAGAUCUGUAUAAGACUAUCUGUGGUAUAAAUACAUUGAAUUUGAGUUAUUUCACAUUGAAUGUCUGAUGUUUUCGGUUUAAGAUGAAAAUGGCAAGUCUCACUGUAAUUUCAUUAAAUAAAUUUUUCCACUUAAGCUGUUCAGUGCUCUCUUCUCAGGUCUGUUCAAAUAGUCAUUUCUUUUGUCAGAUGGUUUACUGUUUGGAGAAAAGCACAAUAAAAACUUCACAACUGGAUGAUGAUCAUGAAUUUGCAUUAGGAGAUUCCACAAUUAAUCACUUGUGCCAUGUUGAAUCUGUGGUGGGAUAAAAUUUAUCAAUAAUAACUAAAAGAUUCUGAGAUAGGUAAAAAAAAUGAGCUUCCUAAUACUUGUGUAGAACAGUUGAAAAAUUAGCAAAUAUAUUGAUCACCUUUGUUAGUAGCCUUAAUCAACAGUGUGUUCGACCAACAACCUGCAUUUUGAAAGGAAUAAGAUGUCAAAUGGGUUUGCUGUAACUGCUGACCACUCUGACCACCUCAGUUGAUCAUGCACUUUAAGGAAUAUUAGGUUUGUUUUGAAGAGUUGCCAAUAAAGUGGAGAAAGACAGAUUAUCCUAUGCUUAUAUCUGAAUGAAGAUGACCUAAAAGCUAGACUGUGAGAAUAAUGAAAUUCCUAUUUGAAACUAGGCAUCUUUUUGGUACCCUUUUAAAAAAUCUCAGUGAGCAAACUUAAAUUAUUAAUGCUCUAUGAAAAGUAUAAUUCUCAAAUUUAUUGAAAAAACUUAAUAUAGAAAGAAUAUACAUGUAUAAGCAUGAACCAAAUAUAUAGAAAAAUCUGAAAUUUUUCACUUAUAAAAUGAAACUAAAAUGAACAAGGAAGCCAUAGAAAAUUUGUGUACUUUAGUCAGUGGUAUUGUUGGAAUUCUUUUAACAUAUUGAAUAGAAUCAUACUUCUUGCUAGAAUUCAUACUAUUCUGAUUUUAAAAGUACAAAUUAUUUAUAUAUAAGGCCAUGAAUGGAAAAAUUUAAGGAAUAUUACAUAUAAAUUUAUUAAUAUGAUCAACAAUAUAGUACUUUAUUGUGAAGGUGCAAAAAUAGCUCAAUAUGAUGUAAUAAUUUAGAUUUCAUUUCUGAUUAAAAUUAGAAAUAAGCAGUUAUUAUAUUGGAUAUUACUAAGUAUUCCUGGUCCACCUCUCUGGUAAGCUACCAGGUAUAACUUGAUUUCAUGAGGAAAGACAUUUUCUUAUACCACAGCAGUCUGGAUACUAUUUGCCUCCUUCUCCCAGACACUCUCCAGACAUAGUUAUUGUAAUUAAUAGAAAGGAAUUCACUGAUCAAGUGGUUUGUCUAUGAUGUGGGUUGUUUUGUUUGUUUGUUUUCAGAGUGAAAAAAAUUGCACUCUGUCUUUCUGUAAGGUGAAAGAUAUAGGAUAGUUUUUCAGUAAGUUGUCCCAAGUGAGUCAACAGACACAUACUACAAAGAAGAAGAAAUAUAUAAUCCUAAUUAUAAUUAGAUGAAGAGUCUAUGAAUAUUAAAAAACAGAUCCAAUGAGAGUCAAAACAAGCAACAUAAAUUAAAGAGUUAGAAGUAAAAGGAUUAACUAAUCUGAUAUAUGAUGAAGUUAUUGACAGUUGCAAAAUCAUGAAUCAUUAUAUAUAUAAUGGCUUCAAGUGAGAAAAAUUAAUAUCAGAGAGGCACAAAAGUAUCAGGAGGAGAGAGAGGAAGUGGAGGGUAAAAGAGCGAGCCUAAGAAACAUGAACCAUGAAUCCAGAGCAAAAGAAACCCACCACAACACGGAAACCAGAGCUAAUUCACUGGACCUGAAACCAGGGCCAACAGGUUAAAAAGGGCCAGUGAAAGAAAAGCACCUGGGCCCUAAAACGAGAGCCAAUGAAACACACCCUGCCCUUGAACAACUGACCUAAAAUCCAUCCAAUCACAGAGCUUGGAAUCCAACCCAUCUUUGAGAUACUUCAAGCUCAUGAACUGAAAUCUAACCAAUUUUAACUCUGAAAAUCUAAACUAUGGAAAUCUCUACUGCUAAAGAAAAAUAUAUAAACCUUGUACCUGCUCAAUUUGAAGCUGCCUUUUUACACCCUGGCAGAGACAGCCACUCUCCAAGAUUCCUCCCUACCAAUACAUCUCUUGAACGAAGUUUAGGUGACAGCAUUCUUUGCCAAAGUGGAGCUGACAGAGAGAUAACUUUCACUAGAGCAGGAGCAAAUCUGGUGCAUUUUGGAUGCAAAAAUCCCUUAGGAAGAGCAGAGCAGAGCUGUAAUGGCUCUCCCAGGAAAACCAGAACUGCUAUAUUGCUAUGGGGAAAACAUUCCCCGCCCAAACAGACCUGUAGUUAUAGCCUGGCUUCUCAUGGGCUUACUUUUCCCUCCAGAGCUGCAACACUUAUCAGAAACCUGACUGACAUGUCAAGCAUAUAAAGAUGAGCUCAUUAAAUGUCAUUUUGUAUAGCUUUCAGUACAAAUUAUAGUAUCGGUCAGUUUUCCUUUUUCUUAAUCAUAAUGAGAUUAAAUUUUCUCC
Long non-coding RNA from Alexandromys fortis (reed vole), 5984 nucleotides. RefSeq lists it as uncharacterized. The transcript has 3 exons. NCBI's taxonomy places the organism in Eukaryota, Metazoa, Chordata, Mammalia, Rodentia, Cricetidae. The record is from RefSeq and is a predicted model, not a curated record.